GGCAGGGCCUGUGUCUUGGAUUGGUUCAGUUUAUAGUAUGCUACUUUACCGUAGGUAUGUAGGAGUUGCAUCAAGGUCGGGAGGGACGUGUUGACUUCCCUUAAUGUUAGAAGGAUGUCGUCAGCGAACAUAGACAGCUUGUAUUCGCUGGGACCUACUGAUAUGCCUUUAAUGUUUGGAUGGUGUCUAAUGAUAUACGCCAACGGCUCUAGGGAGAGGACGAACAAUAGCGGGGACAAGGGGCAUCCUUGUCUGGUGCCGUUAGAGAUGUUGAAUGGUGUGGACAGAAAGCCCGCAUUUGCAACUUGUGCUGUCGGGUUGUUGUAGAGAGCCAUGAUACCUGAGAUAAUGUGUGGUGUAAAGCCAAAUGCCUGAAGGACGUAUUGCAUGUAGUCCCAGUUGAGCCUGUCGAAGGCCUUCUCUGCGUCUAGUGCCAAGAGAAGACCUUCUGUGUGGUCAGUGUGGGCUUGUGUGAGGAUGUUUAAAAUCUUUCGGGUAUUAUCCGAACCUUGUCUAGUUUUAACGAAUCCGGAUUGGUCAUUAUGUGUCAGUUUUGGGAGGAUGUUGGAUAUACGGUUUGCUAGGAGCUUAGCAUAGAGCUUCACGUCUCCAUUGAGCAGGGAUAUAGGUCUGAAGUUAUG
Pelobates cultripes (western spadefoot toad) is the source of this 641-nucleotide non-coding RNA. NCBI's taxonomy places the organism in Eukaryota, Metazoa, Chordata, Amphibia, Anura, Pelobatidae. The record is from the annotation of a GenBank genome assembly.